AAUGUAGUGUCUGAAAAAGAGUCACUUUGAUAGAGUGGAAUACGUGAAUAAUCACCUUCAUUA
RNAcentral lists this transfer RNA (63 nucleotides) under Polyphylla laticollis mandshurica. RNAcentral's name for it is "tRNA-Ile". Lineage: Eukaryota; Metazoa; Arthropoda; Insecta; Coleoptera; Scarabaeidae. The record is from RNAcentral.